GAAAAAGAAGCGAAAAAUCGCAAUCAGUUUCGACCUGAAAAUUUGGUAUCAUUACCCUUUCUCU
Molecule: transfer RNA, 64 nt
Filed under: Physemacris variolosa
Lineage: Eukaryota; Metazoa; Arthropoda; Insecta; Orthoptera; Pneumoridae
Description: tRNA-Arg
Source: RNAcentral